GUGAAUCAUCGAAUCUUUGAACGCAUAUUGCACUCUCUGGGAUUCCGGAGAGUAUGCCGGUUUGAGGGUCAGCCUAAAAAAAAUCGACGUAGUCUCUGUUUCGAGGUGACAUUCGUCGGAAAUUGGGUCAUCUUAAACCUUUGGGUUUUUUAAGCGGCUUAAAAUUUUCUUUACGAUUCCACGAACGUUUCUAAGAUUUUACUUCUUACACACGUUUAAUGUAUCGAUCUUGAUUAGACGUGGCCGUUGCAUAGGAUCGUGUCCAUAAAUAUUUCU
This 276-nucleotide unclassified non-coding RNA is filed under the name Glomus sp. RNAcentral's name for it is "partial contains 5.8S ribosomal RNA and internal transcribed spacer 2". The stretch from base 1 to 71 matches the Rfam family "5.8S ribosomal RNA", at positions 84 to 154 of the family's 154-position model. Lineage: Eukaryota; Fungi; Glomeromycota; Glomeromycetes; Glomerales; Glomeraceae. The record is from RNAcentral.